GACGAACGCUGGCGGCGUGCCUAAUACAUGCAAGUCGAACGCAUUUUCUUUCACCUUGGCUUGCUCCCCCGAGAGAAAAUGAGUGGCGAACGGGUGAUUAACACGUCGUUAACCUGCCCAUCAGCGAGGGAUAACACUUGGAAACAGGUUCUAAUACCCCAUAAUUCCAUUUGCCGCGGGGUAUAUCGGUGAAAGGCGCUUUUCCGGCACUUUUGGAGGUACCCGCGGUGGUUUGGCUAGUCGGUGGGGUUACGGCCUACCAAGGCUGCGAUGCAUAGCCGAACGGAGAGGGUGAUCGGCCAACCUGGGACGGAGACACGGCACAGAGGCAUACGGGAGGGGGCAGGAGGGAAUCUGGGGAAAGAGACGCAAGUCUGAGCGAGAAACGCCGCGUGAGGGAAGAAGGUUGUCGGAUCGUAAAAAUCUGUUGUUAGAAAAGAACAAGGAUGAGAGUGGAAAGUUCAGCGCUUGACGGUAUCUAAUCAGAAAGCCACGGCUAACUACGUG
This 507-nucleotide ribosomal RNA is filed under the name uncultured bacterium. RNAcentral describes it as "partial 16S ribosomal RNA". It matches the Rfam family "Bacterial small subunit ribosomal RNA", at positions 28 to 507 of the family's 1533-position model. The record is from RNAcentral.